Non-coding RNA from Pelobates cultripes (western spadefoot toad), 249 nucleotides. Lineage: Eukaryota; Metazoa; Chordata; Amphibia; Anura; Pelobatidae. The record is from the annotation of a GenBank genome assembly.
GGGCCCUGCUCAGUGAGGUUACAUGUUAGAGGGAGUGGGGUAUAGUGACAGUAACAGAGGGAUUGAGGGCCUGCUCAGUGAGUUUACAUGUUAGAGGGAGUGGGGUAUAGUGACACAGUAACAGAGGGAUUGAGGGCCCUGCUCAGUGAGCUUACAUGUUAGAGGGAGUGGGGUAUAAUGACAGUAACAGAGGGAUUGAGGGCCUGCUCAGUGAGCUUACAUGUUAGAGGGAGUGGGGUAUAGUGACAC